AACAGGUGGCCAAGCUUGAGGCUGCAAGCCAUAACCUGUUGCCCACUGGUUUUGUGUACUUGGAUAUGCACCCAUAAGUGAUUGUGCAGGUGAAGGAGCAUCAGCAUAAGAUUUUACUAAUUUUGUCUUAUCUGAAACUAGAUAAUCCUCAGCAUGACGCUUUUUUAACUCCGACUUGCUCCUAUGGGGUAAAAAGAGCUUGGCAUGCCGAUCAUCAG
RNAcentral lists this unclassified non-coding RNA (218 nucleotides) under Hevea brasiliensis (rubber tree). The record is from RNAcentral. Lineage: Eukaryota; Viridiplantae; Streptophyta; Magnoliopsida; Malpighiales; Euphorbiaceae.